This 608-nucleotide long non-coding RNA is filed under the name Numida meleagris (helmeted guineafowl). RNAcentral describes it as "lncRNA (ENSNMEG00000020016.1)". Lineage: Eukaryota; Metazoa; Chordata; Aves; Galliformes; Numididae. The record is from RNAcentral.
AUGAAGAUACAUUCCAUUCUGGUAGGUCCUUUCCUGUUCUGAGCCUCCAGAUCUCCACUGAGUCAAUGGUCUUUUUUGCAUCCUGACCUGCAGAAGAUACGGCUUAUUAUGAUAAAUCAUGUGCUAGUAUUAUGGGACCUUGCUCUGACUCACUUGUGGAUAAUGUUAACAGCAUUCCAUUGUCACUGGCCUUAGAGGAUGCUCUGUCAGAGUGCAAGAUGUGCAUCCCAUUUGGCAGUGGGACAGGACCGCUUGGACGGUUUCACACUGAGUUUGUGACAAUGGAUUCCCAGUUUUGCGGUUCUCCAGAGGCUUGGAGCCAUGGCCAAGUGACAAGGGUAGCUUCUCGUAUACGAGGUCUGUGGGCACUGUCUUGGUUUUGCCUUCCUGUCGUCCAUACUCUCACAGCUGCAGGGGAUUUCUCCAGAUCUCAGGCUGUCCUCUUGAGAAGUCACUUCAACUUAACAGCUCAGCUGGAAAGAACUGGAAAGGACAGAUACUUGAUCCAAGCUGAUCCCUUGGCUUACGUUCCGAACACAGCAUCCAGCCGAAAAGACAGCUUCUGCAAUACAGUGGGACAAGAUACCAGAGAGGAAACACAACUUUGA